This is a long non-coding RNA of Pygocentrus nattereri (red-bellied piranha), 480 nucleotides long. RefSeq lists it as uncharacterized. The transcript is spliced from 2 exons. The record is from RefSeq and is a predicted model, not a curated record. Lineage: Eukaryota; Metazoa; Chordata; Actinopteri; Characiformes; Serrasalmidae.
UGAGCUAUGACUGUCCUGCGUGGUUCCCUUCAGUCCUCAGUGGUGCGACUGAUCUGAAAGCAUAACCCAGAAUGAGCAACCUUACUUUACCUCUAUCACAGCCUGUCUAACUCAUCUAGGCCUUCUGUAGGAGUGCAGACAAAGGAAAUGUGCCACCUGGGUGACUUAAGUGAGUGGAAAAUACCCUGCUGUAGUGGCCACUCUGAUUUGAAUGAGACUGAAUGGCUGUUGGGUUAGUAUGAAAAUGAAUUUUCCAUGUCCCAGGACGGGGGCCAUGACCUAAGUGCAGACUCAGCGAGGGGAAGGUCUUCUGCCCUCAAAGCACAAAACAUCCCUCACCAAUGUUUCCAAGAAUUUCCUGUAUUAGGCCAAAUGAAACAACUAACUUGGCCUUCAGUGAGGACGUCUCGUAUCUCCACGCUGACAGCUUUAGUGCUGACCUUUUAAACCAAUAAAACUAGAUGACGUGUUGGGAUCGUC